This 306-nucleotide ribosomal RNA is filed under the name uncultured bacterium. RNAcentral describes it as "partial 16S ribosomal RNA". It matches the Rfam family "Bacterial small subunit ribosomal RNA", at positions 507 to 808 of the family's 1533-position model. The record is from RNAcentral.
GACAGCAGCAGCCGCGGGAAUACGUAGGUCCCGAGCGUUGUCCGGAUUUAUUGGGCGUAAAGCGAGCGCAGGCGGUUAGAUAAGUCUGAAGUUAAAGGCUGUGGCUUAACCAUAGUACGCUUUGGAAACUGUUUAACUUGAGUGCAAGAGGGGAGAGUGGAAUUCCAUGUGUAGCGGUGAAAUGCGUAGAUAUAUGGAGGAACACCGGUGGCGAAAGCGGCUCUCUGGCUUGUAACUGACGCUGAGGCUCGAAAGCGUGGGGAGCAAACAGGAUUAGAUACCCCGGUAGUCCCUGUCUCUUAUACC